CCAGAGCCGCUGCCCGCCGGGCCCGGUCCCGGCCGUGCGGGUCCCUUUCCUGUCUAUCCGGUGAAUCCCGGCCCGGGAGGAAGAGGAGGGGUGGGGGCGGGAGCCGCGGCUUCGCAGGGGGCCGGCAGGCAGCCUGUGCCCUUCUUCAUGGCGAGGCCGGGGGAGAGCAGGCUCCCGAGGAGGGAACCCGGGAGCUGACUCAACGGAGCAGUCCAGCAUGUUUUCCCGGGAGCACGGCUUCCCUGCCGGAGCCAGCGGAGGGAGGUCUGAGGAGGCAGUGCAGGGUUUCAGUGAUGUUAUAGACUCUCCCACUGAAGGUUUUCCAUGUGUCCUCACUCCUGCUGUCCCCAACAAGACUGCGGACUUGUUUGAGAUGAUUGAAAAAAUGCAGGGGAGUCGUCUGGAUGAACAAAGGUGUUCCCUUCCAGCUCCUCUCAAGACAGAAGAGGAGUAUAUUCCUUACCCCAGCAUCCAUGAGGUAUUACAGAAAGGGUGGCCAUAUCCUCUCAUUAUCCUUCCCCAGUUUGGGGGCUACUGGAUUGAAGGGACCAGCCACAACCUCUCCAGCUUGAGUCCAGCUCUGUCUGAGGUACCCUUUUCCUGGAGUGGUAAAGUGAAACUGGAAAGUGACCCUACAGCCAAGCUGUACCGCAAACAUUUUCUGGGAAAGGAGCACCAGAACUUUUACUCCAGUGACAUGUCCUUGGGGUACCUAGUACUUUCUGUGAAGUAUGAACAGAUCGAGAAGCAGGAAAAUCUACGCCUGUUGCUGAGGACUCGUACUGGCACCAAACAUGACCUAAUUCCCAUUUCCUGUCUGAAUGAGUUUCCCAAUGCUGUUCAGAUGGCAAAGCUACUGUGUGAGGAUGUGAAUGUUGAACGCUUCUUCCCUGUCCUCUAUCCCAAGGCUUCUCAGCUUAUUGUUGCAUUUGAUGAACAUGUCAUAAGCAAUAACUUCAAAUUUGGGGUCAUCUACCAGAAACCUGGACAGACAACUGAAGAAGAAGUCUUCAGUAACACAGUAGAGAGUCAGGGUUUCCUGGAGUUCCUGGAUUUCCUUGGUGACAAGAUUCAGCUGCAGGAUUUCCGUGGGUUCCGGGGAGGCUUGGAUGUUACCAGAGGUCAAACAGGCACCGAGUCAGUCUAUACAAAUUUCCGGGGGAAGGAGAUCAUGUUUCAUGUGUCCACAAAGCUGCCCUUCACAGAGGGAGAUUCCCAGCAGCUUCAGCGGAAGCGUCACAUUGGGAAUGACAUUGUAGCCAUCAUUUUCCAGGAUGAAAGUACACCUUUUGUCCCUGAUAUGAUUGCUUCUAAUUUCCUACAUGCUUAUGUGGUAGUUCAGCUCACUCAUAGCACCACUGGGGACACUCUCUACAAGGUUUCAGUCACCGCCCGAGAUGAUGUCCCCUUCUUUGGACCCCCUCUGCCAAAUCCAGCCAUAUUUAAAAAGAGUACAGAGUUUCGUGAAUUCCUUCUGGUCAAGCUCAUCAAUGCCGAGUACAGCUGCUAUCGAGCUGAGAAAUUUGCUAAAUUAGAGGAAAGAACACGGAGUGCCCUCUUGGAGAGCCUUUUUGAGGAGCUGCAGCUUCGCAGCCGCAGCAUGAUGGGAUUACCUGUAGGGGAGGAUGACAAGAUAGAGAAUGGCAGCGGGGGCUUCCUCGAGAACUUCAAGCGGGUGAUCAGAGGCCGCAGCCAGAGCCUGGAUACCAUGGGGAUAUCCAUGAGAAAGCAGCAGCCAGCCACCCUGCCCAGCCGCCCAGCUACAGCUGGCCUUGCCCUCAGCCAGAGUGUCGCCGAGGGCCCUAAGGCCAUUGCUGCGUCUUUUGCCUUGCCUGGUAGGAGCCCAUCACGUACUCGAGCCAGCCGCUUCCAUGGGCGACGGAGUAGUGCCAUUGGCAUUGAAAACAUACAGGAGGAAAAGAGCAGAGACACCGCAGAGAGGAUACAGAGGGUGUUGGACAGUCCAGGAACUUUCUUUGACUUGAAGUCUGAUGGAUCAUCCAGUCCCAGCUCUCCAGAGUUCCCCAGCAGGAAGAGCAAAAUGCUCAGGAGUCAGACUUCAGGAUACUGUGUGAUGCAGCCACUCUCACGUUCAUCAUCCAGUGUAAGCAGUUGUUGUAGUGGAUUGAGGGAAAAUGGAACAUCUGAGGAAGAGGAGAAUGACAGGGAGCUGAUGUGCUCACUUAAGGGCCCUCCAAAACAGGAUUCAAUGGUUCAGAGUAUGUGGCUGGAUGACAGUGACUGCACACCCAGUACUUCUAGCUCACCAGGAAGCAGGUUGCUUCCUUCCAGCAGUGUUGCUGGCUCCACUGGAAAAGGAAAAGGCAGCAAAGCAGAUGCUCAGCACCAUAAUCCAGCCUCCAUUUUGUGCUGUGUGUGAUGUCAGCGCUGGAGGACUGUCUGCUGCACGCGGGGUGAGGAGCACAGGGUAAGGGAAAGAAAAUCAACCAGGAAAGAAGAAUGUUCACUCUGCAAGAAGUUAAAUCUUUAAUCUCUAAUGUUAAUCUUUGAUCUGUUGAAGGAAAGGAAGCAUAUUUGUAUUGGCAAACACGUCACCUGGCUGGUAAUACUGGCGAGCCUUGAAACUCUUCGAAAUUAGAGAUGCGACCAAGCUGUAAAGUUAACUCUUAAGGAUGAGAAAGCCAUCUCUCCAUAAAAUUGAAUACAUUCAGAUAAUCGCUGAGGAUUGUCAUAUAUAUUUUCCUUCCUAUAUAUUUCUCCAGGACUUUUCACAGCUUGGAGCUUGGAACUGGUCCCAGCCAUUUUUCACCUGCAAGACAAACCAGCACAAAAGAGACAGUUAAAAUGUAAUCCAUAGAAGUGAUUGGCCGGUCACUUUUCUGCAGCAGGAUUGCUGUUCCUACUCUUUUGAAGAGUAACUACUGGUGAUGGGAUACAGAUUUAUAUCUUGUUUGGCAUGCUUCAGCCAGCUCCAUAAAUCUUUAACUGUCUAGUCACAAUUGAAACUGUACAGAAGAAUUCUUUUCCUCUAUGACAGAUGAGACAUUCUGCAGGUCUGGGGUAUUCCAUGAGGGUCAAAUCAGUUCUUUUUAGGACUCGUUUUUGGGGGGCUGGGAGUUACAAAAACAGGGUGCAAGGCUGGGGAGUCAGAGAAUCGAAAGGAAAAUCUGAUUAAGUCCUUGGAGUUGAGACGAGAAACCAGGCCACAACAUUCCAGUCAGUAUUAGUGACUACUGUAGUGGGUGCUGGGUACUCUUCUUUCUCACUCUCAUGUUCAUCAAGAAUAUUUUAUAGAAUCAGAAACUCAUCCAGAAGACUAAAAAAAAAAAAAAAAAAAAACCCUCAAAAUAUUUCCCUUCUGUUUAAGCCUAUGACUAAUACUAAUUUGCAUGAAUUAAUACUUUCUACUGAAUGUUUUCCACAAAUGCAUCAGAGCUAAUUAUGUGCAUAAUUCUUUCUAGAGACGUACUCUCUCAAGUGCCAAAUCUUGAGCUCAAUAGUCAAGUGUCCUCUAACUCAUAAAAACAGGUGACUUUAGUUUUAUUAUUUGUCACAACCUACUUCAAUCCCUUAAAGAAUUUAGUGUGUAUUCUGUUAAUAGAAAAAUGAAAAGAAGGAUGGCCAGUAUUUGAAUAGCUUUUAAAAAGUUGUGUAGGUAGACACAAGUUAUGGAUUGGGGAGCUGUAAUAAUGUACUUUUACUAAGAAGGAACAGCUGUAAUGUGAAAAUGUUAGAACUACAAAAAAAAAAAAAGAAGUAGCACCAGCCAUAGUCUUAAUCUUAGCCAAGGCCUAUUGUCCAGUACCAAAAGGUUAAGUACAAAUAUUUUGAGAACUGAAGAGUUUCAGUAGUAGUUUGAGAAUGGCACAUGGAGCACAAAGCAUUGAAACAUACCAAGAGAGGAUGGAGAACUCAAGUUACUUCUGGUCUGGAAAAUUUGGUCACUCUAAGUUUACUGAGACAGAUUUCAGUCAGCAUUUUCAUUCCACGAGAAGAAUAACCAUAUUUAACAUUUGAAAGCCCUUAAGAGUGUUUUACUCAGCUGCAUUACAUAUUUCAUUACAAGAGGGUGAAAGCAUAAAACCAAAGUGAUGUUAUGAGGUAGACUCACCUAUAACACUGCCUAGCAGCUCUAAACGAUCGGAGCCAAAAAAGAGAUGAGGUUCCCCAUCAUAAUGUGCCACAACAGCAGGCAUCCCAAAUGCCUAUUGACACCAUGGAGAUGAAACAGAGAAUGUUAUAAUGAGAGAAUUUCUUGCAGACACAUCAUCAAUCUCCAGGAAUAAAUCCCAAUAACUUCUACUUUUUCUCCUCCCCUUCUUUUCACCUUCUCAUUCUUAAAGAUAAGUCUAAUGAAGCCAUUUGGAAGUAGAUGUCUCUCCAGAGCCUGUGUGCCCCUUUUGAAGGAGCAUAAAAAACAACCUGAUUAAUCCACAGCUCUGUUUCAAAUAGCAGUAAAUGGUAUCUCUUAGUACUGGUCCUGUCCUUGCUGUCCAGCUGGAAUGAGCUGAGUGGGUCAACCUUGUUUUCCCAGAUGACAGCGAGAUUAACUACCAACAACAGUGAGGUGGCUUUCACACACUGAAAUACAAGGAGCACCCUGAAGGGAUUGUCUAUAUAGUGCUUUCUAAUCAUCACCCUCAUUGUUCCUUGCUUCCCUGUAUUCUUAAUAGGGAAGGAGUGCAUAGCUGUGAAGCCCAAUGCCAUUGGAAGCAUCUCACCCCAUAUUUAAUCGCUUCAGCUGUUGUCUCUUUCAGUCGGUCCUUCACUGCAGGGGAUGAAAUCAUUUCAAGUGCCUUCUGGGAGAGCUCUGCUGAGAGCCCAGCCUGUCGGGCAACCUGAGAAAAGAUUAUAUAAUUAAGAAUACUCUAAUAGUAAAUACUCUAAUUCCUACCCUGGUCUAAUUAAUUUAAUCUUCAGUAUUAUCACCUAAGGUCUACUGCCAAAAAAAUUCAAAAUACUCUUGAAGCACUUCUUGCAUAAUUGUCUUGCUGUAUUCCCAACCUAUUCAUCAUUUAACAACUCUCAGAUACAAAGCAGAAGAGACAUUUUAAACUUCCAAGUCCCAAAUCGGCACUUUUUUCCCCAGUAGUUCUGAAAUUGAAGAAAAAAAAAAAAACCUUUGAUACAAUGACUCAUCAGAUAACUUACAAAAAACCUCAAGCUGGUGUUAUGAAAAAUAAAAUCUCACUGUACAAGCUUACCAAGACAAACAGUUCGUGUGACAAAUGUGGGAUCUGUAAGUGAUACUACAUGAAGGACACUGUAAAUCCCAGAGGUUAAACAGUUGCUGGUGUUAUUGCUGUAUCUUUUUCACCUCCCCUGUGCCUCUGCCACACAGGAAUGAGACUAAGUAGCCAAAUUCAAAGGUACAAUGUUUAUCUGGUAACACAACUAUAAGUACCCUUGUUAAUAAAGUGUUUCACACACACACAAAAAAAAAAAGGUAAAAAGAAAAAAAAGAAAUACAAUAUUGCACAUGGACAAGUAAGCCUGCACAUGCAGGUGUUAAUGACUCUUUCUUUCUUUCAAUCACUUUUUCUGUUUAGCACCCACAUUUUCUUGUACCUUCUCCCACUUACACAUCAGGGAAAUGAGGAGGGCUUUUUGACUGUGCUUGAACAGGAGGUUAAACAAGUGUAGCCCUGGACUAGAACAAAAUGCUUGGUAGCCACAGUGUUUAGACUGCAGUAUUUAUACAGUGAUGUAGUAUCUGGUCCUCACCAUUUCAGGGCAGAAAGAGUGUGUAAGUGGGCUGGGGCAGAAUUCAGACUGUACAUUGCUGCUAUAGCAAUUUAUGUGAAGCUACUGCUGACUGAAUAAAGAAGUAAAAAAAAUACUGAGGAAUUAUUACCAAGUAAAAUAUGUUCCAUUUUCUUGACGGAUGUGUAAAAUAAAUUCACCUGUAAAGACUCAGAUGAUUGGGUUGGGCCCUCUUAUCCACCUUUGGAUGACAAAUUUCCAGAAGAGAGGAAAGUUUAGUACUUGCUGCAGGAGUGAAUGAAGACAGACACAAGCAGACAAGGGGACACCUCCCUCUGCCUUGAUGAACGGGGGGGAUACUCACUGGCUGCCAAACUGUGACUAAAUUAGAGAUCUUUCUGAGUAUGGAGUUUGUGGCACUGAAGUUCUGCAUGUCCUUGCUUUAUUUAAAUAAUGAUGGAUUCAGAGGCUAUGUGACAAUGUUCUGUAUAUAAUUUUGUGCUGAGUCUAGCUGGGAUGGAGCUGCUUUUCUUCACAGCAGCUGCUAUGGUUUUGUGUUUCAGAUCUGUGACCAAAACAAUGCUGAUAACAUCCUAAUUAUUUUAGCUAUUGAUGAAUGGUGUUUGCACAGUGUUGAGGAAGUGUCUGGUUCUCACUUUUCCCCCACAGUGAAUAAACUGGGGCUUCACCAGAGGCUGGGAGAUGACCUGAACUAACCAGAGAUAUACCAUGCUCAACAGUAAUUGGUGAGGAGGUGGUUUAGGGAGGUUAACCUUUUUCUUGGGAACUGGCUGAGCAUCAGUCUGCAUGUAGGAGGUGGUUCUUUGUUUUCUUUCACUCUGCUUCCACUUCUCUUUUGCUUAUUAAGCAAUUUUAUCUCAACCCACAAGUUUUCUGUCUUCUAUUCUUCUUUUCCUCUUCCCCUGUCCUCCUGGGCAGUGGGAAGAAGCAAGUGAGCACCUGUGUGGUGCUUGGCUGCCUACCACAGUGAAAGUGCCACACUUUAAUUUUAUCCUUCAAAUCAUGCUUCUUAAAAAAGCAAAAUGCAAACAUUUGCUGAAAUGUUGGUAAAAAAAGCUACAUUAAGAUGAAGCUGAAGUGCAAGGACUAGACUUGGGGGGAACAGCAAGACUGCAAGUUUCAGAUUUCAGCUAGGGACCUCUAGGGAUAGGAGAGAUUAGUCAUGGACAAUUCCUCUCUUUUCUUCAUAUUCCAAGAACUUAAAAUGUAGAAAGGAGAGCCCUUCAAGAGGAUCUCCUGGUAUACUAACUUACCUGCCAUCACAGCUUUUACUGUAAUAAACAAAAUCGAAACAGCAAAAGAAAGUACAUCAAGAGUAUAAUUUCCAGGCAUAUAAGAGGGAAAUACAGCACUGAGCUUAAUAGAAAACCUGACUCCAUCACUCCAAGGAAAGUCAACUUCCCCAAGUGUUCCAUUUCACCUGGAAAUUUCAUAUAGCAGCAAUACCUCAAUGCAUUCUACAGAAACUUUUCAUACUUUCAUGACUGUUAAUGAAAUAAUAUCAACAGAUAACUCAUUGUCCCGCCUGGGUAUCUUGCCACAUGAAUUAAUAAAAAAAAGUGGCUUCUGGUUCUGAGUGUUAUACAAAGCAUGACAGAAAAAAAAAAAAAACCCAAAACAUUCCAAACAGAGCUGCUAGGGAAAUUAAAUAAUUUUUUUUUCUACCUGAAAUUUUCCAAUACUCCAAGUGUUCAUUUGACUAAGCUGUGUUUAUGUCUAUUACUGAUCCAAGUCAUCAAUAAGAGUCUCUAUCAAAAAUGCAGAAGCACCAAGAAAAAGGAGACACUUACAGCCAAGAUGUUCUCUGGCUGACUGAUAUCUUCAUGCUGGUGAAAGAAUAAAAUAAGUAAAUCAGCAUUUAAGAAACAAAAGCUCAGCUCUGGACUUAAAAGCAAAUUUUCUAAGAAAACAGAAACAAACCCAAUACUAGUUGCUGGAGAAAUGACCUCAGAAAAGGUCUUAAGUCAGCUAAUCUAGGAAUGUAUUAAAGUGUUUUCUGAUAUGAACCACUGAUCCACACAGCCCAUUGGACUGACCAUAUAGACCUAAAAGAAGGCACAUUAAGCUGACUAUAAGCUUGUUCUUUUCAUAGUGGCUCCUGAACCAUUGUGACUUUAAGUUCCUGCUAUGACUUUUCAUUAAAAGACAUUUUCUUCCUCUUGCUGAAAUUCCACAUUUGAAUGAUGUGGGACAGGAAAGGUGACAAGAAAAGGUCAAGAAGUUGGCCACAUAAAAUACUGACCUGUGACCAAAACCGCAUCCAGAACUCCCUAGAUAAGGGUUCUAGGUACUGUGGGUUUGUCAUGUCAAUGGCUGUGACAAAGCGCAUGGCCGCCAGACUGCCUGGAUUCGUGGGGAGACAGAGAACAGAGACAAGGCACAGGAUCAGGAGCAGGGGUGGUCUGCACAAGUGCCACCUAAAAACAGCAUGAUCUCCCCUGUUAACAGUCCUGAGAAACCCACAGUCUGUAGUAGCUCAUGUUGAUCCACAGUUAUCUCCCACGCUAGUAUCAUUCACAGCCAUAUUUCUCCAGAGAUUUCUUUCAUGGCUUAGAAUGCACAGACUUCAUACUGCUCACAGGUUCAGGAAAGGGCUGCACACAGGGAAUUCAUCUCCACCUUUACUGGUAGGGAGAACUCAAACCAGAAGUGCUAGGGAUGAGAAAUACCAGCUAAGCUAAAACUCUUUCUUACUUGUAGCAAGGAUACGCUGGAAGUCAUCUCUGGACAUGUGUACAGGCACCUGGUAGUAUUUUCCCAUCCUUUUUAGAUCCUUCAGCAUGUAUUCAGCACGCUUUGGUAACAUUGCUGGUGGCUUGUUACCUUUUAGGAAAAAGUUCUGUUGAGAUUUCCAACUGUAUUAUAAUAACACUGAACAAAUUAUGCCUCAUGCAUAUAUGUGCCUAAGGAAGAAUCUAAGUUCAUAGUCAAAUUUCAUAUUGGCUUACUGGAACAUACUCAGCUUUUCCAAAUAUAAUGCUAUGAUUUAAACAUGGUUUAUUUCAGUUUUGCACUGAUCAAACCUUUAAGAUAGCUGAAUCAGUUUUAAACCAAGGUACAAAUGUCCUAGCAGGGAUUUAUGUUGCUUCAGACAGAUUACUUUUACGCUUGAGAACUCCUAAUGCAUGGGUAAACUGAUGCAAAGACUUGUUGAUUCAUGAUUUGUAACUCUUGGUGAUCUAAUUAAGGCCAGGAGUACUGUUUCAGGACAUCCUUGUAUCCUUCCUGCAUAUUACAAAGUGCAAGUGUUCUACAAAUUAGUUCUGGUUUAAAAAUCUAACUGUAGGAAAACACUCCAUAUAUUAUUAUUACUAUUAUUAUUAUUGUAUUUUAGAACUGAUGAACUUCGGCACAGACUGUCAGUGUAGUUGCAACAGUGUGAAAUUCCUUGUGACUUAUUUCUCAAUCCCUCUGGAGCUCCACAGUCCUAUAGUUAAUUAGUUACUGGUGCCGAAAGGUAGUUCAGAGCUGGCUCUAUGUGGGCUCUGCACACACCAAGGGCUUGCACACUAGUGCUGUGCUAGUGAAAAAGGUAUCUCCCUGCAGCGCUAACCUCCCUAUACUCCAUACCGGUUUGUUGCAUUAUGCCACCAAGGAAAGCUGGACGGAAGCGCAAGUCAAUAUUCCAGAUGUGCUGGUACCGGCAGAGAACCUGCAACGUGAAAGAGAAGCGAUGGAUUCACAGUCGAGACGUCGAUAGAGCUGUGUGCAGCUACGGCAGUAAACACUGCAGAUAAAUCCUUUCCCAUUGUAUUAGGGCUAGUCCUAAAGCCUUUUCUGGAUGCUGCCAGAGAACUCUGAUCUCAGAAGAACUGAUGAGUCUCUAUUCGUGCCACGACUAUAUAAGUCUAACUAGGGUUAAGUAAGGGCAAGAUCAAGCUCAUGAAUGGAGGCUCGCACUUGUUAAACAUGAAAACUAUCCCCGAAGCAGAAUGUUCAGUACUAACUCCUACACUGCCGUUUGGCUCGGACACGCUUCUCUGGUGUCCCUGGACUUCAACACGCGAGGGAGAAGCCCAGGCACCCCUCAGAGAUGAUAACCUACUAUACUAUAAUUCAAGUCGUCCUGGCGAAGUUUUGAUGAACAUAGAAUGAGAUCUAAUAAGGACACAUAGAAGGCUACAGAUGAAGGGAGAGACACUCAACUGCGUCGUUUGAAAGAUCCAUGUCUAGUGAUAGGUAGUAUUCUACAGAGCAGGAUUUGAAGCUGCAUCAGACAUUGAGCAUUCUCAAGAGUGUCUUCUUGUUGGAAGGAAGUAUCACACUGGCAUCCAUAAACAGAAGGAUAUGCUGUAAGAAAUAAGAGCUGGUCCUUCUGCUCUACUUGACGCUAGUAAGAUCUCAGUACCAUGCUGUAAAGAAAUACUGUAAAAUUUUGGUUUUGAAACAAUUUUUGAAAGAUAUGGACUGUCUAACACGGACUGAAUGGAGACACAUAAUGAGCAGAGUGUUGUCAACAAGGCCUAAGUAGAAAGUUGACUAAUUUAGGUUGUGGCUGUCUAUAGAAACAAAAUACAAAACAGAACUGAGGACAGGUUUGUGAACAAACUGUUAUCAGUCUUCAAGCACUUAAAAGGCUGUUACAAAGACGGCUGCCACCCUCGGUCCCCAUGGUCAUUCUAAUAAGAAGUAACAAUUUUAACUUGCAGCAGUGAAAACUUAGCUUGGGUUGGCCACAGGCAAGAAUUUUAUGGCUAUAAGGAAAGCAGAGCAUGGGUAUAUAUUAGCUGGCUGUAAGAACAGAACUGCACUGCUCUUCUAGCCUCACCUGUCUGUGAGUCCUUGUUUCUGUCACUUUCUCCAGGGAUCCCAAUAAUAUCCUGUUCAUUCUGCCCAGAAAGAGAAGCAUCUCCAGGUCUAUGAGCUUCUGUUGCAUCAUCAUAACCAUCUUCCAGGGCAUUUUCAGGCGGUGGAGAGGUCUCUGGAACAGUACGGCUGUUAACUAUAGCAGGGAGAGAUCUUCCACUGGGGAAAGCAGUAGCUGAUGAUCCAGCAACACAGGGCUGUAAUACUGGCAUGUCUGUGCUUAACUGGAAUCCAUCCCUCAGAGAACAUUAGUGUGCACAGUUUUAUUGUAUGUACAUAUGCUUACAAAUAAUAUAUGUGUAAAUAUAAGACUAAAUCAAAGCACUCCUGUUUCACUUUUUGCCUAGCAAAAUAUAUUCAAUCUGAAUAAGAAAAAGAGACUGUAUUUGGAAAAAUUAUCUUCUCUAUAAGCACUUCAAAGCAACUAAGGAAAAGCUUUUCGUUUAUUUUUAACUAGAAAAAGUCUUUAAUAUAAGAAAGCAAUAGAAAAUGAAGACAUGAUCCAGCAGAAUCCGGGAUAUGGGCAGCUGAGGUCCAAAACUGCUUGUGCUUUUAGUAGUUGAUCUCUUGGACACCAGGCAAUAGUUAAGAGAGCUUUUUGAUCAGCUCUAGGAAAAUGCAGUUCUUCUCCAAACACUUGCUCUCCCUCAGUUAUUUCAAAUUAAAAAAAAACACCAACAACCAACCCAAACCACCCCAAAACUCCCACAGCUAGGAAUCUGGAUUUUCUUCAGAGUGCUUGUAUUUUUUUUAGAUCACUCGGAUUAAAAUUCCCAAAUUAGCUCAAAUUA
This is an RNA transcript of Corvus hawaiiensis (hawaiian crow), 11282 nucleotides long. It is a transcript of the gene named rap1 GTPase-activating protein 1-like, with no coding region annotated. NCBI's taxonomy places the organism in Eukaryota, Metazoa, Chordata, Aves, Passeriformes, Corvidae. The record is from RefSeq and is a predicted model, not a curated record. The transcript has 25 exons.